RNAcentral lists this ribosomal RNA (397 nucleotides) under uncultured bacterium. Its description in RNAcentral is "partial 16S ribosomal RNA". It matches the Rfam family "Bacterial small subunit ribosomal RNA", at positions 523 to 918 of the family's 1533-position model. The record is from RNAcentral.
AUACGUAGGGGGCGAGCGUUGUCCGGAAUGAUUGGGCGUAAAGGGCGCGUAGGCGGCCCGGUAAGUCUGGAGUGAAAGUCCUGUUUUUAAGAUGGGAAUUGCUUUGGAUACUGUCGGGCUUGAGUGCAGGAGAGGUAAGUGGAAUUCCCAGUGUAGCGGUGAAAUGCGUAGAGAUUGGGAGGAACACCAGUGGCGAAGGCGACUUACUGGACUGUAACUGACGCUGAGGCGCGAAAGUGUAGGGAGCAAACAGGAUUAGAUACCCUGGUAGUCCACACUGUAAACGAUGAAUGCUAGGUGUAGGGGGUAUCGACCCCUUCUGUGCCGCAGUCAACACAAUAAGCAUUCCGCCUGGGGAGUACGGCCGCAAGGUUGAAACUCAAAGGAAUUGACGGGG